AUUGAACGCUGGCGGAAUGCUUUACACAUGCAAGUCGAACGAUGAACCUUAGCUUGCUAAGGGGAUUAGUGGCGAACGGGUGAGUAAUGUAUCGGAACGUAUCCAAUAAUGGGGGAUAACUAGUCGAAAGAUUAGCUAAUACCGCAUACGUCCUACGGGAGAAAGCUAGGGACCUUCGGGCCUGGCGUUAAUGGAGCGGCCGAUAUCUGAUUAGCUAGUUGGUGGGGUAAAGGCUCACCAAGGCGACGAUCAGUAGCUGGUCUGAGAGGACGACCAGCCACACUGGAACGGAGACACGGUCCAGACUCCUACGGGAGGCAGCAGUGGGGAAUUUUGGACAAUGGGCGAAAGCCUGAUCCAGCCAUUCCGUGUGAGUGAAGAAGGCCUUCGGGUUGUAAAGCUCUUUCGCAAGGGAAGAAAACUUAAGCUCUAACAUAGCUUGAGGUUGACGGUACCUUGAUAAGAAGCACCGGCUAACUACGUGCCAGCAGCCGCCGUAA
This 500-nucleotide ribosomal RNA is filed under the name uncultured bacterium. Its description in RNAcentral is "partial 16S ribosomal RNA". It matches the Rfam family "Bacterial small subunit ribosomal RNA", at positions 30 to 523 of the family's 1533-position model. The record is from RNAcentral.